This 898-nucleotide long non-coding RNA is filed under the name Equus caballus (horse). Its description in RNAcentral is "lncRNA (ENSECAG00000044600.1)". The record is from RNAcentral. Lineage: Eukaryota; Metazoa; Chordata; Mammalia; Perissodactyla; Equidae.
UUUAGAGAACCCUCCCUCCCAACACCAGCCAGCUCUUGUCUCCACACUCUCAUUUGGCUUCUAAGAGCUUCCAGAGCUCAGUUUUUCAGAUCCCCAGGGUUAAGAGGUAGAAACAGACCUCAUUUCUUCCCUAGAUAUUUCCAGCCGGAGGCUCCACAUAUCCCAGGUCUCAGAGCUCCCGGCAAGCCCUCACAGGGCUGUCCAAGAAGACUUCUGUGCUCCAGCCGCAGCUGAGGCCAGUGGAAGCUUCCAUCCUGUCAACGAUGGCCCCUUAGGGACAAGGGGGCAGGGAAGAGCAAGAGGAAUGUGUCCUCGUGAUCACCAUCUGCUGAGGGGAGCCCACUGGAGUUUUAGAUCCUCCCUCCCAAGCCAGAAGUUUCUUCUUGGAAGGGAAGGUGGAGGACAGCUGAAGCUGGGGAAAGACUGUUAAUGCCAUCAGGUUUUUCUGAGUCAUUGGGCGAGAUCGGGCCCCUCCAGCCAGUUGCACAGGCGUGUUCUGAGCCUCUCUGUCUGCCUAGGGCCCCUCCUCCAUUUGCAGUUCUGGAGGAGCUGGGAGCCUCCUCUGAAACGGAAGAAUAUCGUGGAGAUGGAGUGGUUGGGAGAAAAGCCCACAUUUAGUUCGCGGAUGCUGUCCUCUUCGUCACCAUUAACCCCACCGAGCAGAGCGGUCACAGCCUCCCUGGGCUCUCCAUGCCUUCCAUGCCAGUGCUCUGAGACAUUCCAGAUCUUCAGUCAAGCUCUUCUCCUCCUCCAUUCUCAGAGCCUGAAGAAGAAUUUCUGCCUGCAGAAAGUCAACUGCUUUUUCCAGCGCAGGGCAGAACCGACCUUGGAGUCCUGGAGAGUUCCAGGGGUCCUGUAAGGCCGCGGCUGUUCACUUCCCUUCAAUAAAUUUUCCUGC